GGAUUACAGAGGUCUUUCAGAGUUGGCUAAAAGGUAGAGAAAACAUUAAGGAAAUUGAGGAAUCUUGACACCUGAAACAAUGGAGGAGGUUGGAUUUGGCCAAAGUUUCUAGCUUCUACUUUGCAAGUAUCCCAGAGUAAAGAAUGCAAAGAGCCUUGCUACCUUGGAGAAUAUGGACAAAACCCCUCAAUGAAUAGCUCACAAUAUGAUUCUGACACAAUAUCCUGUUAUAUAGUUGUACAGUAUUUUGGCUGAGACUAGGAUCCCCAGAUGUUGGAAGAUAUGCAUCUAUCAAGGAAAGAGGAAAAACUAACUUUUAAGAUGUUCUACAGGUGGGUAACUGGAUUACUGAUACAUCUGGUAAAAACUACACAGUCCCAGAAAUCCUUCAUCUGACCUAGAAGAGAAACAGUUUUGAAUUUAGGAUAUAAUUUCCCAGGAAAGUG
This 446-nucleotide long non-coding RNA is filed under the name Vulpes vulpes (red fox). Its description in RNAcentral is "lncRNA (ENSVVUG00000014227.1)". The record is from RNAcentral. Lineage: Eukaryota; Metazoa; Chordata; Mammalia; Carnivora; Canidae.